RNAcentral lists this unclassified non-coding RNA (353 nucleotides) under soil metagenome. RNAcentral describes it as "partial contains 5.8S ribosomal RNA, internal transcribed spacer 2, and large subunit ribosomal RNA". The stretch from base 1 to 120 matches the Rfam family "5.8S ribosomal RNA", at positions 35 to 154 of the family's 154-position model. The record is from RNAcentral.
GAUGAAGAACGCAGCGAAACGCGAUAUGUAAUGUGAAUUGCAGAAUUCAGUGAAUCAUCGAAUCUUUGAACGCACAUGGCGCCUUCCAGUAUCCUGGGAGGCAUGCCUGUCCGAGCGUCGUUUCAACCCUCGAGCCCCCGUGGCCCGGCGUUGGGGAUCUGCCCAGGCAGUCCCCGAAAACCAGUGGCGGACCCGUUACAGGCCCUUCCCUUGCGUAGUAGCAUUCGCCUCGCAUCGGGAGCCGGCGGGCUUCCAGCCUCUAAACCCCCAUCAAGUCCGCCCCGGCGGCACCAAGGUUGACCUCGGAUCAGGUAGGAAUACCCGCUGAACUUAAGCAUAUCAAUAAGCGGAGG